UACGUAGGGUGCGAGCGUUGUCCGGAAUUAUUGGGCGUAAAGAGCUUGUAGGCGGUUUGUCGCGUCUGCUGUGAAAAUCCGGGGCUCAACCCCGGGCCUGCAGUCGAUACGGGCAGACUAGAGUGUGGUAGGGGAGACUGGAAUUCCUGGUGUAGCGGUGAAAUGCGCAGAUAUCAGGAGGAACACCGGUGGCGAAGGCGGGUCUCUGGGCCAUAACUGACGCUGAGGCGCGAAAGCUAGGGGAGCAAACAGG
This 253-nucleotide ribosomal RNA is filed under the name uncultured bacterium. RNAcentral describes it as "partial 16S ribosomal RNA". It matches the Rfam family "Bacterial small subunit ribosomal RNA", at positions 524 to 776 of the family's 1533-position model. The record is from RNAcentral.